Molecule: non-coding RNA, 115 nt
Organism: Triticum aestivum (bread wheat)
Lineage: Eukaryota; Viridiplantae; Streptophyta; Magnoliopsida; Poales; Poaceae
Source: Rfam
UUAAUACUCCCUCCGAUCCAAAUUACUUGUCGCUCAAAUGGAUGUAUCUAGCACUGAAAUACGUCUAGAUACACCCAUUUAAGUGACACGUAAUAUGGAUCGGAGGGAGUAUAAG